AUGGUUGUGGCUUGGCCACCGGGCACACAAUCCAUUGAUUCACACAUAAGGUCAAAACCGAGUCGCGGUGUUCACAAUGCUGGGCAUUAUUUAUAUCGAAGGACGAGGAGGAAGAUUUGGAUGACCAUAACGACAAUGGCAAGGGCAGCAACAUGGUCGUCACCUGCAAUGCCGAUGGGUGCUGAGAUUAUGAUGUUUGGUUUAUUUGUUGAAAGUUACAACCCAUGUUUCAUGAUUUAUUUGCCGCCGGUUAAUCAUGAUAUUUUGAAGUGCUCUGACAAUUUCUUGCUGUCUGCAUCUCUUACUUUUCAACUUGAUGCAUAUACAGAUAUACACCAUUAG
This 342-nucleotide ribosomal RNA is filed under the name Triticum aestivum (bread wheat). RNAcentral describes it as "partial small subunit ribosomal RNA". The record is from RNAcentral. Lineage: Eukaryota; Viridiplantae; Streptophyta; Magnoliopsida; Poales; Poaceae.